AGUAACAUCCGGAAACGGGUGCUAAGUACUGCAUAGUUUUCUUGAUCGCAUGAUCGGGAAAGGAAAGACGGCCUUUGUGCUGUCGCGUUAUGGAUGGACCCGCGGCGUAUUAGUUAGUUGGUGAGGUAACGGCUCACCAAGACGAUGAUACGUAGCCGACCUGAGAGGGUGAUCGGCCACAUUGGGACUGAGACACGGCCCAAACUCCUACGGGAGGCAGCAGUAGGGAAUCUUCCGCAAUGGACGAAAGUCUGACGGAGCAACGCCGCGUGAGUGAAGAAAGGUUUUCGGAUCGUAAAACUCUGUUGUCAGAGAAGAACAAGUUGGAGAGUAACUGCUCCAGCCUUGACGGUAUCUGACCAGAAAGCCACGGCUAACUACGUGCCAGCCGCUGC
RNAcentral lists this ribosomal RNA (395 nucleotides) under uncultured bacterium. RNAcentral describes it as "bacterial SSU rRNA". It matches the Rfam family "Bacterial small subunit ribosomal RNA", at positions 142 to 518 of the family's 1533-position model. The record is from RNAcentral.